This is a long non-coding RNA of Hydractinia symbiolongicarpus, 2117 nucleotides long. RefSeq lists it as uncharacterized. NCBI's taxonomy places the organism in Eukaryota, Metazoa, Cnidaria, Hydrozoa, Anthoathecata, Hydractiniidae. The transcript is spliced from 3 exons. The record is from RefSeq and is a predicted model, not a curated record.
AUUGAAAAAUACUUCAAAAAGGUAUAUUUUGGUGCGGAACAUAAUUAUAUAUAGUUUCGAAGGGUUAAUGAUCGAGGAAUCGCAACAAAUUCAUGGCUAUGAAUUGAUACCAGUUCCUGUUAUGAAUAUAUAUUGGAAAACAUUUCAUUCUGCGCAUGGAAUAUACAUUGGAACACUUAACAGUCCAGAAAUGAAAUAGGAAGAGUUAGCACGUUCGUGGUUCUGUGAUUGACACAGCAAGAGAGGGUACAGGUGGAUCCACUUUCGUGGCUUAGAUGGAGUGAAGAAUAAAAAGUGCAGCAUAUCGAAAUUUUCCUUGCAUUGGAACCAUGGCCGUGUCUACAUUAUCAGAAGCAACUAGAAAGAAACUUCGAAAAUAUGUUAUUGUGGAAAAACGCACUAAACCAGACCAACAACCAGAUGUCUUACCAUUUGUAAUCUAGGAAAAAAAAUUACUAUAAAUGCAGGAAGCUAGAUCUAGUUGACUUGAACAGACUGAAUCCGAAAAAAGAUGUAUAUUUUUAAUUUUUCAGUUCAUCAAACUUUUUGUUCAAUUAUUUUGUUAUUCGUAAUUUAUUACUUUAGAUCAUGUCAAUUCGAUCGUUCUUUAAACCGAUAAUUGUGAAAGAAACUUUGUUAUCUCCAUCAGCGAUAGUUAGAAAUGAUUAGGAGUCUUCGGGCAUCGUAAAUAAAACUGCAAAAAAUAAUUCUGUAAAUAGUUUUGUUACCACAUCAAAGUCACAUGCACAUGCAUCAAUAUAUCGUCCUCCAGAAAAUUAUAUUUUUCCGAAAACGUUAAUCGGGAACCGUGAAAGGCAAUGUCAAUCACAUUGGUUUAAAACCUUCCCAUGGCUUCACUACAACAUUGAAAAAAAAUCUGCGUAUUCUGCCAUUACUGUGGUCUACAUGAAGAUAAACUUUUUGCAGUACAUAACAAGGAUCCAGCAUAUAUUUCAAAUGGUUUUAGAAAUUGGAAGAGAGCACCUAAGUGCUUCAAAAACCACGAGGAUUCAAAAUGUCACAAAGCAGCGCUAACACAUCAAGUGACAGUUCCCACAUGUGGCGAUGUUGCUGAAUUGAUGAAUAAAGAUGUUUUAGAAAAAAGAUUCCAGGAGCAUCAAUAUUUGAAAGUAGUAAUGAAAUGUUUGCAGUUUUUAGCACGCUAGGGAAUUGCAUUUCGUGGUAACGAAGACGGCAACGAAAAUUUAACUCAGUUGUUAAUAUUAAGAGGCAAAGAUAAUCCGGACGUUAUUCAAAGGCUGAAGUCGAAGGAUAGAAGUAAGAAGUUGUACACACAUCAUGAUUACCAAGAUGAACAUCUGCAAAUUAUAGCUAACCAAGUUAUACGUAGAAAAAUUGUUAAAGUGCAAAACAGUCAUUUUUAUUUGAUUAUGUGUGAUGAGUACACUGACAUUUCUAACAAAGAGCAACUUUCAUUUUUUGUUUUAUGGGUGGAUAAAGUUUUAGAAGCACACAAGACUUUCUAGGAUACUACCAAAUCCCUGAUUUAAAGAGCGAUACUAGUCACUACUAUUAAAGAUGCGCUCACAAGAUUCAGUUUGCCUCUAUCUGACCUGAGAGGUCAAACGUAUGAUGGCGCAAGUAGUAUGACGGGAAAAACACAAAUUAAGAAAGAUCAACCUAAAGCACUAGAAACGCAUUGUCAUGGUCAUACAUUGAGUUUGCCGGUUAAAGAUAUGAACAAACAAAAUAAAUUGUUAAAUGACGCCAUUGGUACAGUCGGCAAGAUAACAGUAUUGGUGAAGUUUUCUCCGAAAUGGGAGCAAUUGUUAGGAUCAAUUCAAAGUAAUCUUGAACGCGAAGAUGAAUAUGAAAUUUUGGAAGAAGCUACCAGUCUCUUCAAACUUUGUGUGACCAGGUGGACAGUUAGAGCAACGACAUACUUUGAAGAAGAAAAUAAGAAAGAAUGAAAAUUACAAAGUGCACGCACAAUGAUAAACUCGACCAGUUAAGUCUUAAAAUUUAAAUUCUAGAGGUUUUGCUCCUCUAAAGAAUAUGCUCAUAUAAAGGAACACAAUUCUUCCUUUUUCCAAGGAGGUAAUUGGGACAAAAAUUAAACAAACAAACAGACAGAGAGAGUAGGACAGGACUUCUGU